Molecule: long non-coding RNA, 237 nt
Filed under: Lathyrus oleraceus (garden pea)
Lineage: Eukaryota; Viridiplantae; Streptophyta; Magnoliopsida; Fabales; Fabaceae
Description: Pisum sativum (pea) long non-coding RNA (PSAT_LNC034584)
Source: RNAcentral
GAGCUUGUGGGCAUUUGUGUGUUAUUAAUUAAUUGUGCAGUAGAGCCGGUGUACCCACCUACCUAAUGACGAGAUGAUAGGUCCAAAAGCACCUAUAACCCAACAGGAGCUACUUAACAAGAUCAAGAGGAUAACCAAGUUGGAAGCAAAAAAGAAUUCCACCAACCUCAGGUGCAGCAGCAAGCAGCGCAAGUUCAAGAAAAUCAACAAGCAUCAGAAUUUCAGAGAAGGAUAAAA